GGGUGUGAGAUGAUCUGGCCGUGACACCCCAGCCAGAGGGGUGGCUCUGUCACCCCACUGAUCACCAGGGUUGAUGUGGCUGCUCUCACGGCUCCAUGUGAGUCCCUCCCAGAGCUGCACGCUCGGUCAAAGACAGCACCCCCGAGAGAGGAGGACCGUGUCCUUGGUCAAGGGCAUACGGACAGCUGCACUUCCCUGCUACAACCUCCAAACGAGCUCUCCAGAAAGUGACCAGCAUGAUGGGAUAAGGGAAUUCAAAGCAAGGGGCAGUUAUUUUAAUGGGCGUUCAUGGCAAUGUGUCUUUUA
Fukomys damarensis (Damara mole-rat) is the source of this 306-nucleotide unclassified non-coding RNA. Its record names the gene 7SK. It matches the Rfam family "7SK RNA". From Rfam's summary of the family: 7SK was discovered as an abundant small nuclear RNA in the mid-70s but a possible function has only recently been suggested. Lineage: Eukaryota; Metazoa; Chordata; Mammalia; Rodentia; Bathyergidae. The record is from Ensembl.